AAUAUUGGAUAAUGGGCGAAAGCCUGAUCCAGCCAUGCCGCGUGUGUGAAGAAGGACUUCGGAUUGUUCCGAACUCUACGUUGAGCGGAAGGGCAGUAAGUUAAUACGUUGCUGUUUUGACGUUACGGACAGAAUAAGCAACGGCUAACUUAGUGCCAGCAGCCGCGGUAAUACGAAGGGUGUAAGCGUUAAUCGGAAUUACUGGGCGUAAAGCGCGCGUAGGUGGUUCGUUAAGUUGGAUGUGAAAGCCCCGGGCUCAACCUGGGAACUGCAUCCAAAACUGGCGAGCUAGAGUACGGUAGAGGGUGGUGGAAUUUCCUGUGUAGCGGUGAAAUGCGUAGAUAUAGGAAGGAACACCAGUGGCGAAGGCGACCACCUGGACUGAUACUGACACUGAGGUGCGAAAGCGUGGGGAGCAAACAGG
This 424-nucleotide ribosomal RNA is filed under the name uncultured bacterium. RNAcentral describes it as "partial 16S ribosomal RNA". It matches the Rfam family "Bacterial small subunit ribosomal RNA", at positions 360 to 776 of the family's 1533-position model. The record is from RNAcentral.